This is a long non-coding RNA of Strigops habroptila (Kakapo), 1840 nucleotides long. RefSeq lists it as uncharacterized. The record is from RefSeq and is a predicted model, not a curated record. NCBI's taxonomy places the organism in Eukaryota, Metazoa, Chordata, Aves, Psittaciformes, Psittacidae. The transcript is spliced from 2 exons.
GGCGCAGCACAGCAGCAGCAGCAGCAACAGCAACGUGGGCCCUCGCGCCGCGCCGCGUGACCGCGCCAACCACUCAGCGGCGAGGGAGGCGGCUCCCAAGGCUUGCCCGGGGCGCGCGUGCGCAGGGAGGCGGCCAGGCUGGUGUCUGUCACGACGGGCGGUGGUGCCCGCGGGAAGGCUCAGCGGGUGCCGGUGCUGAGGCAGGGCGGCCGAGCUUCGUGUGGCGGGAUGACACAAAGCCCGCUGCUAGUCGUGCAGCGCUCUGCCCCAGCGCUGAGGUACUUGGUAACGGCAGGGAUAAUAGAAGUCACAGGAAGAGUGGGCGGCUAAGUGAAUGAGCGUUCAGGUAAGACAAUGUCCCUUUGCAUUCAGGCAACUAUUAACAGCAUGGGUUCUGCUUCCUAAGUAUGGCUGGCGUGAUUAGGAAGAGAGUUCAAUACUUGGAAAGAAAAUAAGGAAGAAAUAAACAAAAACAUCAUUUUCAUAACCCAUGUACACUUAGCACAGGAGUGACGCAUACAGUUAGCACUGCUUACGCCUUACUGCUAACUAUAUAAUCCAUGUAAAUAUUUAUGAUACAGCUAUUAUCAGUGUAAACAUACAGCUUAGUCAUAUGUUGACCCAUAAUGAAAAAGUGACAUUGAGAUCUUUCCUUCGCUUAACAGCACAAGGUUUAAACAGGUUUUAGGAGCAGUUGAGCAGGUCUCAGAACACUCAUUUUUCUGAGAUUUAUACUGAGGCUUUUUGACAUGAAAUAAUUGGGAAGGAGCAGCCUGCUAUGGAAUGCAUGGAUGCAAAUUGAAUCCAUAUCUGAAGGAUGUUGUUUUAAUUAAUGCUGGGAAUCUGAUACCAGCAUAUUUGAAACACUGUUUAUGUUAAUCUUGAAGGAACUAGUUAUGACUAGCUUACAAAUGUAAGAAUGUCAAAGCGUGGUUAUAGUAAAGGAACUGAACCAAGAGAAGCAGUAACCCAGAAUUUGAUGCAUACAUAGAAUAUUAUGAGUCUGUCAUAAAAUUAACAAAAUAGAGAUGAUUAAAGGAGCGGUUUAAACAUGUUAUUAAUUUAUACACAGCUAUUGUACCACUGCUACCCUUCUGGUUCUGAAAACAACACAAUGCUUUGGAAACUGUGGAGGCAAGCCCUUCUGAGAGAUACAUACAGAAACAAGAUCUGAUAGCAAGUAUUUUGUAUGAAGUCAGGGCUUACUCUUUUGGAGUCUUUGAUCUGACAUUAACUUUGUAUUUGUUAUGUAGCCCACCCAUACUAAUUUUUCCUUAGCUGGUGUUCCACUUUCUCCAGUUCAGCACCACCAACACUGUAACUUCAUAAUACAACAUGGAAAAAUUGAGUGAAAAAUGUAGAUGUUUUCUCUCUAGCUUGUAGAGAUAAAAAGGAAUAUAUCCUGGAGGUUCUUGAUCUGUUUGUAUAGUCUGCCAAAAGGAAUAGAAGAAAUGUCUAGUGGUAAAUAAUAGAGUGCAUUGGUCUGAACUUGGGCUGGAAGAAACAGACUAAGAUCAAAAAGGUUUCAUAACACAGUCAAAGGGACGUUUGAUCAUCUAGUCACCUCCUGCUUAUUCAGAUACUUCCACAUUGUGUUGAGAGACUUCAGUUAAACCAAAACAUUUUCAUCCUCAAAAGCCUAAGCUGUUGUAUGUGACCAGAAGCGAGGAGAGUAGACCAAAAGGCGGGGUGAAGGAAAUGAAUGUGUGAAGUAUGCCAAGAAGAUGGUACCAGGCAAUCCCUCUACACAGCUAAAGAGCUUUCUAAAAAAAGGUAUCGAAAGCAAAGAAAGUAUAAUUUGAGAUCACAGGUGAAAACAAACUAUAAUGUAAAAAGUUAU